RNAcentral lists this long non-coding RNA (235 nucleotides) under Hordeum vulgare. RNAcentral's name for it is "long non-coding RNA (HVUL_LNC015629)". Lineage: Eukaryota; Viridiplantae; Streptophyta; Magnoliopsida; Poales; Poaceae. The record is from RNAcentral.
GCUGCGACGGAGGAGGCGGAGGCGGUGGCGGGGCGUCCCCUGCGGCGCCGCGGGCCAUGAAGCGCGAGCUCGCCUUCGCCCUGCAGUCUCUCUCAGAGAUCACAGCCUCCCCCGGCCGCACCCGCUCCGGCCGCUCCCUCACCUCCCCGCCGUCCCCUCAUCGCCCGCCGCCAAGCGGAGGAUGAACGCCAGAUCCGACCCCCCGCCCCCGGAUCUGGUCUCCCCCCCCCCCCCC